AGGAUUUGACAUCCUGCGAAUCUCUUGGAAACUUGAGAGUGCCUUCGGGAGCGCAGUGACAGGUGGUGCAUGGCUGUCGUCAGCUCGUGUCGUGAGAUGUUGGGUUAAGUCCCGCAACGAGCGCAACCCACGUCUUUAGUUGCCAGCAUUUAGUUGGGCACUCUAGAGAGACCGCCGGUGAUAAACCGGAGGAAGGUGUGGAUGACGUCAAGUCAUCAUGCCCCUUAUAUCCUGGGCUACACACGUACUACAAUGCUACGGACAAAGGGCAGCAAGUUCGCGAGGACAAGCAAAUCCCAUAAACCGUAGCUCAGUUCAGAUCGUAGGCUGCAACUCGCCUACGUGAAGGAGGAAUCGCUAGUAAUCGCAGGUCAGCAUAC
This 380-nucleotide ribosomal RNA is filed under the name uncultured Synechococcus sp. RNAcentral describes it as "bacterial SSU rRNA". It matches the Rfam family "Bacterial small subunit ribosomal RNA", at positions 976 to 1357 of the family's 1533-position model. The record is from RNAcentral. Lineage: Bacteria; Bacillati; Cyanobacteriota; Cyanophyceae; Synechococcales; Synechococcaceae.